UUCCGGUUGAUCCUGCCGGAGGGAACCCCUAUCGGGUUCAGACUAAGCCAUGCGAGUCGGCUGGGGGCACUUGCCCCUGGCGGCGCACGGCUCAGUAAUACGCGGUCAACCUACCCUGGGGACCGGGAUAACCUCGGGAAACUGAGGCUAAUCCCGGAUGGGUGUAGGGUGCUGAAAUGCCCCUACGCCGAAAGUAGGCGGGAAAUGGACCGCUGAGGCCCCAGGAUGGGACCGCGGCCUAUCAGGUAGUAGGUGGGGUAACGGCCCACCUAGCCUACGACGGGUACGGGCCCUGAGAGGGGGAGCCCGGAGAUGGGCACUGAGACAAGGGUCUAGGCCCUAAGGGGCGCAGCAGGCGCGAAGAUUCCGCAAUGCCCGAAAGGGCGACGGAGUGAACCCGAGUGACACCCGCUGAGGGUGGCUGUUCCCCUGUGUAAAAAGCAGGGGGUAGGAAGGGGAGGGCAAGGCUGGUGGCAGCCGCCGCGGUAAAACCAGCUCCCCGAGGGGUUCCCACGCAUACUGGGUCUAAAGCGUCCGUAGCCGGCCCUGUAAGUCCGCAGUUAAAUCCGCCUGUAGACAGGCGGGCUGCUGCGGAUACUGCAGGGCUAGGGAGCGGGAGGAGCCGGGGGUAUUCCCGGGGGAGCGGUAAAAUGCGUAGAUCCCGGGAGGACCACCAGUGGCGAAGGCGCCCGGCUUGAACGCGUCCGACGGUGAGGGACGAAAGCUGGGGGAGCAAACCGGAUUAGAUACCCGGGUAGUCCCAGCCGUAAACGAUGCCGGCUAGGUGCUGGCCAAGGUUUCGACCUUGGCCAGUGUCGAAGCGAA
Molecule: ribosomal RNA, 825 nt
Filed under: uncultured archaeon
Lineage: Archaea
Description: bacterial SSU rRNA
Rfam family: Archaeal small subunit ribosomal RNA
Source: RNAcentral